UGAAAACUCUCUCUCAGUUUAUCCAUAAUUUGGGUUUAGCAGAAAAAGACUUGAAAUUAUCCCUUAAAAACACAUUCAAAAAACUGAACAAAACAUGUUUAAAGAACUCAGGAAAACAUGAUGACAAUGAUUCAAAUAGGAAAGAAAUGGACCUACCAAAAUAAAGUAUCUAGAGUUGAAAACACAGUAAGUAAGACAAAAAAUGGACUCAGGAGCUCCCAUUGUGGUGCAGCAGUUAAUGAAUCUGACUAGGAACCAUGAAGUUGCAGGAACUCCUAUAUUUAGAAAUUUAAAGUCUUCCCACAAAGAAAAGCGUAGGGACGGACAGCCUCACUUAUGAACUAUUCAAAAAUUUUAACGAAGAAAAAAAGUUCUAUGCAAAUACUGUCAGAGGACAGGAAAGACCACUUCCCAACUCAUUCUACAAGGACACUAUUACCUUGAUAGCAACGCCAAACAAGGACAUUGUAAGAACAAAACUGAAGAAAAACAAACACCCCCCUUCACAGAACAAUAUUUCCUGUAAGUAUGGACACAAAACCCCCAAAUCGAAAUCGCCAAUAUAUAAACAGAAUCGUAUACCAUGUCCAGGUAGGAUUUAUCCCCAAAAUGCAAGGUUGGUUUCACACCUAGAAAUCAACUGCUCCGCCACACUAAUGGACAUGAGGAGAAAAGUCACAUCGCCAUCUCAACGGCCACUCAGUAAAGCAUUUGACAAAAUAAUUAAUGUAUGGGGGUUCCCAUUGUGGCUCAGCAGGUUAAGAACCCCACAGAGUAUCUGUGAGGAUGCACCUUUGAUCCCUGGCCUCGAUCGGUGGGUUGAGGAUCUGGCAUUGCCGCAAGCUGCAGCACAGCUCCAGUGUGGCUAUGGCUGUGGUGUAGGCCUGCAGAAAGCAGCUCUGAUUCAACCCCUAGCCCAGGAACUUCCAUGUGCCACUGGUGUGGCCAUUAAAAAAAAAAAAAGUUACCAAAAGUCUUAACAGACUAGAAAUAGACACUUCGCAACUGGCUAAGGUGAUCUACAGAAACCUCACAGCUCAUAUCAUACUUAACGUGAAAGGCUGAAGCUGUUCCCCUCAAUACCCCCCAAACUAUGAGCAAGACGUUCGUGUGGGGAGUCCCACUGACCUUCGUGCCACAGGUUCCACGUGGCACAGAAGGCCAACGCAGACGGACUGGAAAGAAAGCAGAACGGUCCCUGGUACGAUCCGAUUCGUACGCAGGGGAAAACGAAGGAACUUACAGAACAACUACGAGGACUGAGAGGUGGGUUUAGCAAGCUUGAAGGACACAAGACCAGGUAUAAAAAUCGAUUUUACUCCUAGGUAACAGUGAAUGGAUGGUCCACAAGUGCAAAGAAGAAAGGAGUCCCAUUCAACGUAUCGAAAAGAAUAAAACAGCUGGGAAUCAACUUCAUGAAAGAAGUUCAAGAAUUUUCCACUGAAAUUAAAGAUCUAAAUAAAUCAGGCCCAUGGGCUCCUACUGGAGGGAGCUGGGCAGAUCUGCGAAGGGGCGGCUCCCAGUGCGCCUGGCCGGGCGGACAGCCAGUACUCGGGGCGUCCUCCCGGAGCGGAAGCUGCCGGAGAAGAGUUUACAGCUGAGGACUAUGGUGACGUUCACACAUGGACACACAGUGCGGUCUGGGGUCACGAUGUUGCCUGAAAUGUGUGACCAGUCAUCCAAUGCAGGGUUACUGAUUCUGGAAAAGCAAAGCCACGGGGCUUUGUGUCCUUGAAACGUUUCUUCGGAUUCCUUGCUUUCAGCUCUCUUCUCAGGGAGCAGAUCCACACCUAACAUUCUGCAGCAGGAUCAGGACUAAGUCAGGGCUGCUCAGAGGAUAAGCAUGAACCGUGCCAGGCUGGCAGCACGACUGCAGAGUGACACCUGACUGCAUAAAAGCAGCGCGGUGACCCAGGCUCAGCACGCGUCCUUCAUCAGCCUUCGCUUCAUGAGUCUGCCCGCCUGCAGGACCACAGCCAAACCACAUCCUAAGGCUGGCGCUGGCUGCGAUGAGGGGGCGCGGAGAGGACAUUCUGCAGGAGACCCACAGAAAGCUUGAGCAUCUUCACUGCCGCUUACGUCCAGAACAGCUGGCCGUGGAAAGCUGCACUGCCACGUCCAUCCUCAGCUGCGGUACUGAUGAGGCGCUGCUCCAGCUGUGAACGGGUCCACACUCCCAGCGCGUGCUCUUGAGUGACGUCUCGAGUCUGUAUUUCACAGAGAGUACUUCCUACCAGACACGGAACCCUUGCUUCGUGUGAAAGCAAUGUUUUCUCUGGCUUCCCCCAAAGAAACAAUUCCAUUAUACAGAGAGCAGGGGACAGGAAAGAGAGGGACCUGUAUUCUGACUGCCCAUCUGGCUCAUCAACCCUGACGUUCAGCCGUAACGGACUUGGGUGUUUCUAAGUAAAAAGCAGCAUGAUGCAACCGAAACCCACUGGGCAUCCACUUCCCAGGAGCCCCUCUCCUGGCCACUGUCCACGGUCCCAAAUCUGACAUUUAUGUCUUUGAAAAAGAGCGCUGCCUGUCUACAUCCAGGUAACAUGCUGGAUCAUUCUGCAUGAUUUCAAGCUCUAUACACUUUCAUCAGUGUUUGAAAGAAAUCCAUAGUCAUCCAUGGAGACCUAGCACACUCCUUUUAAAGGCUGUAUAAUAUUCCACAACAUGAACAAGUCACGCAUCCAUUUACCCAUUUCUCAUGCUGGUGGACAGCUAGGCACUCUCCAUUCUUCUCUGUUGCAAACAACAUUUCUGCAGAUAUCCUUGCCAAUAACCCUUCAGGCACAUGGCUACUCGCGCAAGGCACACGCCUAGGAGAAACGCUGCUAAAUGACACAGUGCAGGCACCCAGAACUAGCAGGACAGGGCCAGAGCGCUGCCUGAAGUGGUUAACCAUUCACACGCCUCCCC
RNAcentral lists this long non-coding RNA (2910 nucleotides) under Sus scrofa (pig). RNAcentral's name for it is "lncRNA (ENSSSCG00005032259.1)". The record is from RNAcentral. Lineage: Eukaryota; Metazoa; Chordata; Mammalia; Artiodactyla; Suidae.